Long non-coding RNA from Callithrix jacchus (white-tufted-ear marmoset), 5519 nucleotides. NCBI's taxonomy places the organism in Eukaryota, Metazoa, Chordata, Mammalia, Primates, Cebidae. The record is from Ensembl.
UGGCUAACACAGUGAAACCUGUUUCUACUAAAAAUAGAAAAAAUUAUCUGGGUGUAGUGGCACGUGCCUGUGGUCCCAGCUACUUGAGAGGCUGAUGCAGGAGAAUCUCUAGAACCCUGGGAGGUGGAGGUUGCAGUGAGCGAAGAUGGUACUACUGCACUCCAGCCUGGCAAUAAAGCAACUCUCUGUCUCAGAAAAAGAAAGAAAAGCGAGAACGGGGAAGAAAUUACACUGGGCUGACUGUGGCCCCAGUGUAAUUUCUGCCACAUCUCUCAGAUGACUGACCACUUCAACUUUCUUUUUCAUGAGAAGCUCACCACAGGCAGAUGCCAUGGAAGGACGCUCCUGAACCAACACAGUCAUGCUGUGAGGAAGUUCAAAGCAGCCACAUAGUCAGAUUACGGGAAAGCAGCUCAUCUCUGCUGUUUCAGCCUUCUCUGCCAAGGUGCCAAGUUUGGUUUCUGCUCCCAUGCUCUGAAAAUGUCAGACAACAUUGCACCAAAACUGUCUUCUGGGUUUCCAGCCUGCCAACCUGUUCUGUGGAUUUUGGACUGGCUAGCCUCCACUAUCACAUGAUCUGGUUCUUUAAUAUCUCUCUCUCUCUCUCUCUCUCUCUCUCUCUCUCUCUCUCUCUCUUUCUCUCUCUCUCUCUCUCUCUCUCUCUCUCUCUCUCUCUCUCUCUCUCUCUCUCUCUCUCUCUCUCUUUCUCUUUCUCUCUCAAGAAUCGCCCCCCCACCAACACACACACGAUCCCUUGGUAUCCAUAGGAUGGAGCUCCAGCAUCCCUUGCAAUUAUCAAAAUCUGCAGAUAAUCAAGUCCCCGAGAGUUGGCCCUUCUUGUCCAAGAGUUUCUCAUCCAAGAUCUCAAGCAGUCACAGAUCAGAUAUGCUUACAGUUGGUUGAAUCUGCGGAUGCAGAACCUACAAAUAUGGAGGGCACUCUGUAGACUUACACACAUCCCAUUGAUUCUGUUUCUCUGAAGAUCCCUGGCAACUGCAGAGUUAAACACCUUUUAAGUCUCUGGAAAUUAUCCAAAGGGGCAUACAACAAAUGAAGAAACAUUUAUUCUAGGACACCAGUAAAUGGUUGUAGAUAACAGCAAGAAUCUCUGGCAAUUUAUCCACAACCUCCUUCCUUGUUCUCCUCACCCCAAGCAGAAGUGACAGGAAGCUGUGUUCCAGACACGUGUAGCCAAAAACACAGGGCUCCAUCUUAUCCCAGCUCCCAGUCUCCAGCUAUAAAAUCUCCACAGGAGGGCAGGUCACCAGCAUUGGUAUCCUCCCCAGCUCCGUGGCAGAAGCACCUCAGCUGAGAGUGGCUGAGAGAUUUUGGGCUCCCUUCCCGUAAUCAGUUCACACUGUAGAGUGGAUGCUUAGUAGGUCAAGAAUACUGGACUCCAAUAGCCCUUGUUCCAGUUUGCUUGUAUAGUAGUUUCCGUGCUAGGGAAGGCACAUUGAGAAGAACUGUCUAUACCUCAUGAACAAAGCAGCAGAGAAGCCUGUAGGUACUGUCCUUGUCCCAAGCUCUGGAGCAGAGUUCUGAGGUUUUACACAGCCAGAGUGGUAGUCCAUAAAUAUUCCAAGAUUCCUUGCUGUCCUCAAAGAAACUGGCUUUACUUGAAAGAGAACAUGGGGAGGUUCGAGAGCUGUGGUCACAGUCAUAAACAAUGGAUGUGUUCAUGUAAGCAAUGAGACUGCUGGAUCCCUGAGAGCAACAAGCUGAACCAUAGACCAGCUGGUCUCAUAACAGACAGAACCUGGGACAGAGACUGCGAAGUGCCUUCUUGGUUGGAAUAAUCCUCAAAGACUGGACUUAAAGACUACCAGAGCAAAAAUGCCUGAAUUUAAUUAGAUUCUCUUGUAGGACAAUUAAUACCUCUGGAUGUUGCUGAAAACCACGGGACGUCAUUCUACAAUUAGUGUAAGCUAACAGCCAGGUGGAAUACCAAUUGAGGCAUAAUGAUGAACACAGAGUUGAGAGAAAGAGCCUUGACCUAAUCAUUGCCACAUGAGGAUGAAAAUGCCCAAGCCCGCACCAUCUGAUGGGCAAUGUCUGAGGCUGCACACUACAGAGAACAGACAUCACUGAAACAGUCCUGCCAAGGCACUAAACUAAAAAAGAAGCAAACAACAACAACUAGAGGAAGGGGAAUGGAAAUUAGUAACCAGAAUUGCUAUGGUAUAUUAUUGAAAGUAUCCAGGUUUUUUUUAACUGUGGUUUACACACACCUACACACACAGAGACACUUACCUGGACACACACACAGGAAUAAAGGAAUGUGUGAUUCACAUAGGAAAUAAAAUGGCAGGCAACAGGAACUGCCUUUGAGAGUGCUCCAGACAUCAGACAUGGCACACAGAAACUUUAAAUAAGCUAUUAUAAAUAUGUUUAGCCUGGCGUGGUGACUCACACCUCUAAUCCCAGCACUUUCGGAAGCAUAGGCAAUGAGUUUAGCAGUGAUCUUAAUUUUAGAACUAUCUUUGGUUACCUCAGCCCACGUCUCCUUGGACGUGGGCAGUGGUUCCACGUUGGUUCCAUGAUGGUCUGACAGCAGAGGACCACACCUACCUACUGCAUAUGACCUCCAGCUCCAAAGGAAGGCAUACUCAAAGCCCAGAGCUUUUACCUGCUCAGGCAAAAAUUCCCUGUUCUUCUCUGGCUAUAACUGUACAAUUUGUGGUAUGCAGUGCCAUGUAUUGCUUAGCACUAACUAAACUUCUAACUUCUAGCCUGAAAGACUGCAUUUGAUUUCAGGGAAUGCAUGCAUUAAACUAACUUUUCUCAUGACUACAUGAUAAAAUAAAAUGCCCAUUUUUUAAUGUUAGAAAUCAAUAAAGAAUGUAGUGAAGAUUUUGUCAUUAUUCACAUUAAAAUACAACACCCUGGCAGGUGACUUUUUUUUAAUCAAGAAAGAGCUCCUUGGGUAGUCAGCAGACUCACCAAACUGAAACUGUGUGGACUCACCACUGAAGUACAUGCUUGAUGUAAAAAAUGGUUUUCAUAAAGCGUUGUAAAAAUAUUCUCUUUUUUUUUGAGAUAGAGUCUCACUCUGUCGUUCAGGCUGGAGUGCAGUGGUACAGUGGCAUUCAUGGCUCACUGCAACCUCAACCUCAAAUAAUCCACCACUUACGCUGCCUAAGAAAUUGGGACAACAGGCAUGCACAACCAUGCCCAGCUAAUUAUGUUUUUAAUUUUAUUUUUUAUGGAGAUGGGCUCUCACUAGGUUGCCCUGGCUGUUCUGGAAAUCCUGGCCUCAAGUAAUCCUUUCAUCUCUGCCUCCCAAAGUGCUGGGAUUACAGACAUGAACCAUUGCACUCAACCAAAAUAUCUUUUUUUCCUGCAUCAGUUACGUAUUUCCAAAUUGCUUCCAAAUUUAUUUAAAUAUUUAAAAAAAUUUAUAUAAAAAGUUUUACAAAGUAAAAUAAUACAUAUAGGAAUAAACAAAAUUUAAUACACUUAUUUAUAUUAUUUCCCACUUCUAGUUAUGCUAUUUCUCAACACAUUUUUAUUGCAUAGUUAUAAUACCAUUAAAAUAAAGGGUAUUAAUUAAACAUUAAAAUGAAGAAUGAAUAAAACAUGUCCUGCAUAAAUGCUGUUCCUGAAGUCGUGCAUAUCAAUUCCAACUACCUUUGUAGCAUUUAUAGCAGUAAAUAUUAUGAUCAUGCCCACAAAUUUGAAGAUUUGCAUAGAUCAAUUCUGAAAAACCAUUAUUUACAAACUGUAUUCAACUGUUACUGAUUUCCAAUUUCAUUAUCAGCUUAAGGUUUUUGUAAUUUUGUCCUAAAGUCAUUCAGCAACCAACUUUUCAUUAUCUACCUGUAAGAAUAUUUCCACAUGAAUGUAUUUGACUACUCGGUAUUACGCGCAUGUUUGAGAUUUUGCCACAAACACCUCAGCUAGAUGGAUGGCAUACGACUCCCCUUAACCCUCCCAAUCAACAAGGAAAAUACAGGACUUGGUUGACAACAUACUAUGUGCCAGGGAAAAUGAUGCACGGUUUUUCUUCCUUCAGCUUAUAAAAGAUUCUGUACAAGAUAAUUUAUUUUGUUUUAAAUUAGAAACCCUAUUAUAUAUAUUGAUUUUGAAGAAAAAGUAAUGCCCACUACUUGACUAUUUUAACUUUUUUAAACUUUGAAAUGAAAUACACUCUUGGUUUCUAAUUAAAACUUCACAUUCUGUAAUAGAAAAUGAGUUAAUCCAUGAACUGAUGAACUGGUUGACAGCUUGGUGUCUCAGCAAUACGUGUUAUCUUCCCUAGGGCGGUUGCAGCAUAUACAAUAAAGCCACGAUUGCCUGAGCAUAAUUCAACCAAUAAAUUUUUACGAAUGGCAGACAGCAGUGGGUGCUAACUUUCUUUAUUAAUUCUAAGGUUUUCUUUCUGCCACAGUACUGUUAUAAUAUCAGAGUUACCAUAUAGUUCAAUAUACAUGAAAUUUUCAAAACCAAGUUUGUUUCACCAUAGAUGACCAUAAAUUAUGUUAAUGUCGUAUGAUGUCUCCAUUGCUUUGCAAUAGUAUAAAUAUUCCAUAAUUUCUAUUUGCAUUAGAGUCAGAUCUUCCUAGCUCUCAUUAUGUGUGGUCUCUAGCAAGCAUUGCGUGACAUCUAGACUGCUUAAUGGGUGCCACUUAAAGCCAUAGUGUACUAGAUUCAGAUCCUGAGCCACCUUCAAGCUGUGACUCAGGCCAUGCUCAAUUUUCCCAUCACCCAAACCUUGGCAGUUUGCUCUGUUCACAGCAGGAAAGAAUAACAGUUAUGCACACUGCUGCCACAGCUGUAGAGCCAGGUGACCGCUCAUGCCAGUCAGAAAUGGAGGAACUCCAAGCACAGCAUGCUCAAUGGGAACCAGCUGCCUCACCUGCAGUCUGUCCAGAUAGUCGGCCAGGGGACAAGCCUCUGAGGUCCCACCUUGCAAGAAGCUGCUCACAGGUGCCAGAAAAUAUAGUCCAUAGGAGUGAAAUUCCUGUGAGCAGAUUCUCUUCAAUGGAAGUCGGGAAAUUAAAAAAGCCAGGCAGAUGAAUUCUCCUUUCAGUCCCUCAAGGAACUGUUCUGAGAUGUAGUCAUUCAUAUUUCAAAGGACAAAUCAUUUUUUUGAGACAAGGUCUCAUUCCGUAGCCCAGACUGGAGUACAGUGGUGCGAUCAUAACUCACUGAAGCCUCAACCUUCUGGGCUCAAGUGAUCCUCCCACCUCAGCCUCCCCAGUAGCCGGGACCACAGGUAUGUCCUACUACACUGGGCUAAUUUUUGUAUUUUCUAUACAGAUGGAGUCUGCCUAGGUUGCCCAGGCUAGUCUUGAACACUUGGGCUCAAGUGAUCCAUCCACUUUGGCCUCCCAAACUGCUGGGAUUGCAGGUCUGAGCCACUAUGUCAGCCAGAACAAAUAAUUCUUGAAUAAGCCAGGACACUUCGUCAGAAUUGGAGGGAACACUGUUAACAAUUACACCGUGACAGCAAUAUAGGCCUGUUUUAUAUUUUCUCUGGGAAUUUCUAUGAGACCACCAUGCCCCGUGUUUGCUCUCCC